AAUGUUGUAAACGAAAGGAGAAAAGUCAACAAAGUCACGCGUAGAGAAGUGCUAUAAAACCAUAAAAUCAAGGCAUGAGCAGGAGAAAAUAAGCAAGCAAAAUUUAGUAAAAAUUGAUUUGGGCUCCAUACUUUCAAUUCAAAAACUUGUUCAUCGCCAUCAUCAUUAUUUGAGUGCUGGAAAACUGGUUUUACAUUGGGAGUAGAAGUCGUCGUGCGUUUGUCUUGAGGCAAAGUUCUAUACAGCUUAUUUUGAAAUCGAGUGCUAAAUAUGAAAUUGAGAAAGCUGAUGAAAAGAAAACAAAUUGAGAGAAAUGAUAGGAAGGCACGAAACCAGGACCUAGAGGUGUUGAUGGACUGCUUAUCCACAAAGAGCUGGUUGCGUUGAACUGGUACAUGCGUACUUUUUAUAUAAAUGCGCAUUAAGAGAAAAAUAAAAUUGACAGCCAAGCUAAAGGGAAUCGAAUAACGAUCUGAUACUUUAUCCCACUCUACACUGUCAAAUUGUUCGCAAACAUAGAUAAAGUAAUCGAUCGGAAGAUUGAUUAUUUUAGAAGUCAGCGAUGUACGACGGAUUAACUUUCCCAUUGAAAAGAUUUUUAAGCAAUGUUUUGAAAUUCAGGUGUACUUUUUGAGUAUAAAACAACGCCGAAUUAGAAAUGAAACAAACCAUGGACCUGAAAGGUAAAUUCCGAUAUUCGUAUACUAAUGAACGAAAUUAGGGCACUUCUCCGUUUCAGGAUUCAAACCUUACGUAUUAAUUAGAGUAGCAAAGGCUUUUUAAUUAGCU
Schizosaccharomyces pombe (fission yeast) is the source of this 789-nucleotide non-coding RNA. The record is from the annotation of a GenBank genome assembly. Lineage: Eukaryota; Fungi; Ascomycota; Schizosaccharomycetes; Schizosaccharomycetales; Schizosaccharomycetaceae.